Molecule: small RNA, 30 nt
Filed under: Bombyx mori (domestic silkworm)
Lineage: Eukaryota; Metazoa; Arthropoda; Insecta; Lepidoptera; Bombycidae
Description: ovarian small RNA-13051
Source: RNAcentral
CACUCAUCCACCAUCCUCGCCAGUGGCGAA